GGUUAUUAGCGCCGGGGGUGGCGGUGGGGGGCAAGGACUCAUCUAGCAUGUGUUGAAGUGCUAACUCUAUUGAAUGCAUAAUGCUCAUAGGCAUCAUGAUCAGGUUCAGCCUAGGUCUAAUUUCUAAUUGGAAUGGUCCUUUCCAUCUCUAAUUGCUUUGAAAAGAUUGAUUAAUUUUUAGCUGUAAAAGAAUAUUUUUGCUGAGGAGUGUUUGCAUUUUUAAUGUUAUUUAAGACCAUUUGAGCUGUUUCUGCUCGAGAGAUUUCUUCUGAUCAGUGUAUAAUGGAAUGAA
RNAcentral lists this unclassified non-coding RNA (292 nucleotides) under Hevea brasiliensis (rubber tree). Lineage: Eukaryota; Viridiplantae; Streptophyta; Magnoliopsida; Malpighiales; Euphorbiaceae. The record is from RNAcentral.